This is a long non-coding RNA of Daucus carota subsp. sativus, 4806 nucleotides long. RefSeq lists it as uncharacterized. The transcript has 5 exons. The record is from RefSeq and is a predicted model, not a curated record. Lineage: Eukaryota; Viridiplantae; Streptophyta; Magnoliopsida; Apiales; Apiaceae.
GACCCGGAUUUUUCAAAAUUUAUUUUGUUAGUUUAUUUGUGAUUCUUCAGAAAAAGUGGAAUAAAAUUUAAUAUUUUAUCCUAGUUUGAUAAAUUCUAAAAAUAUUUGUUUAAAUUAUUUUUCGGGUUCACUAGGGUAUCGAAAUUUUGUUGUCUGUUUUGAAUUAAAUGGCAUGUUAAAUACGUGAAUCACUUGUUAUAAGAUUUAACUGUUUAUUUGGAUGUAAUUUAUGCAUGUGUAUAUGUUUGUUACUAAUUAUUGUUUUGUUUUAGAAAUAUUUAUAAUUUUCUUAAAAAUAGAUUUUUGAAAGAUGAAUUCCUAAAAAUAUGAAAGCGAUUUCAAAAAUUCUUUUAAUUAUUUGAUAACGAUAAUAACUAUUUUUAGGAGUUUUUAUAAUAUUAAAAAUAUCACCUUCAUAAAGGUGUGACUUCUAAAUAUUUCCUGAAUGCAUUUAACUUCUAAAUUGCGUAUAAAUUUCAAAAUUGCUCUGUAAAUCUUGAAAGUUUUAUUUUAUUAGUUUUAAAAUAUUUCGGGAUUUAUAAAAAUAUUUCGGUAGUUGUCGGGAGAAAUUUUACUACAAGUUAUCUCCGUAAAAUAGUUAAAGCUGGUAUAAGAUUAGUGAUUAGCCAGCUCGUUAAGGACACGUGACAGCACAAGGCUCAGCCACGUGCCCCUAUUUUCGCCACCGCAAACCCUCUUUUCUUUUCUUCUCCAUACUUUUCUUUCACUCCAUUUUUUUCAUCAGUCUUGACUCUCUCCCUCACCAUUCUAUCCCGUCUCUCCUCUCUCGAUCACCCCUCCUUUCUUCUCUACUUUUCUGCUGUGUUACAAGCCACCGCGACGCCGCCCUCUGCCGCCGCGAUUCUCCGGCUAGUGUUGUCGCGGUUUCAAUCAAGCCGCCUGUGUAUUUCCGGCGAGCUCUCCACCCCGCACCUCCAGUUCAAUUAGUGAAUUGAAGACAUUGACCGAGGCAUUGAUCGAGAAUCGAUUGCAAUGGGUAUUCAGAAAUAGCCAAGUAGUGUUGCAAGUUGAAGUAGAGCGAAGAUUUGUUAUAGAUAAAAGCUUGUCAGAAGUUGACAAAAAGGAAUGAUAUGGCGGUAUAUAGUAUUAUUAGAAAUCUGAGCUAGACACUGGAGUUAAGCCAAGGACAAAGAUGUUUCACCCGAUUAGGCUGCGUGUGCGUGUAAGAGUAAUGAUAGGCAAGGAUUGCAAGUGGUUGAGUUUCAGGCAUAUGGUCAGGUAGAGUAUCCAGAAAGAUGUCAUUAAGACUAGUUGCAGUUGCAGUUGUGCAAUUUAAUUCAGUUGGGAAUUAGAUUUGUUUAUUUGGUUAUCAACUACUCUUCAUAUCGAGGUUUAGUUGAUAAUUUAGUUGAAGUUGUAUAAAAUUUGUAGUUUUGUUUUCUGAUUUCAAUACUAUAGCCUGUAUCGAUCCUGUUUUCAGGGGGUGAAAUUGAUUUGUAAUUUAAAUCAUUUUUAAAAUAUCCAAGUUUUAAAAUAUUUGUUUUUACUUUCUUUCAAAAAUACCGGUUUUUAAUUGUUUUUCUUUUAGUGGCUCAAAAAUACAGGUUUUAAAUUAUUUUUUUAUUUACACGUGGCACCAGAUCCAGACCCCCGGAUCUGUGGGAUGUCACAGUUGGUAUCAGAGCUGCAGGUUAUAAGUCAUUGAAAUCAGAAUAUAGGUGGUAAUAUCAGGUUUAAUAAAAAGGUGCGUUAAGUGUAACCUCACAUAGAGGUAGUCUACAACUAUUUGGAAUAGUGUGUGUCAAUAGAACCAAGAUUCACAUAUAGUAUUGACCUUGAGUAUAUCAUAGUGUGUAUAAUAGGUUUUCUGUUCCAGAACUAGCAAGUUUAUAUCUCAAGGAAGAAAGAACAGGCCUCCACCAGUUUUUAUUAUAUUGAGUAUUUAGUACUAAUACUAGCAACCAAAUAGAUUCACUUGUUGAGUCUAGAACGCCACUAAUUAUUUCAUAGUCCUUGUCACCAAGAUAGAGAUAAAUUAAAAGGGUUACUAUGAGUUGUUAUAUUGUGGAUUAAAAUUUCUUAACACCAGUUUAAUUGAGUUUCAAACUCAUAGUAGGUGGAUAAGAUUUUUGUCAGUGUUUAGCUUGUUAGUCGAUUUAGAGUCAAAACUAUUUGAAGGGUGAAAGAUAGACCUAUUAGUUGAGCUUUAAAAUUGGAAUCAGUUGAGGUCGGACCAGUAGAAGCAUUCCCAUAGUCUAGAGCAUCUUUUGAAGUAUUUGUCAAGUUUUGAGAACUAUUUGAAAGGUCACCUUUUGUUUCAUGUCAGUGAUAUAUAGAGUUGGUCAAAGAAUAUAGGUGUUACCAGGUCCGAGUUUCAAGCUUUGUAUAUAGUUAAGUAGUGAGCGUUGGAGCUACGUAGAGUUCGUAUUAGAUUACUCGAUCUAGUACCUAUGAGUGAGUUAAGAUGUCAACGCUCUAUGGUGAUGACUGCAUAAAGCUGGAAAAGAUUUCUGAUUGACAACUAUAUCGAUAACGGGAUCUUCAGAGGCUAUUACAAGUCAACGAUAAUAUAUGCAAGUGAUCACUAGAACGUCGAGAAGAAUCAUUACAAUCCAAAACGAGUCAUCAAAUGAAUCGUUCAAGAGGACAUCCAUGAAAAUCCUGGCAAUACCUUCCUCAUAUUCGAUAAUAUUGAUUUCUUUCCUCAUCAUUGAUUUGUUCUGACAUCACUUUCAUAAAGACAUUUGAUGAAGAAUAUAUCUUUCUGUCUCACUUGAGUUCUCGAAUGAUACUUGUGCUUACUGUAACACCUUUGGAAUCUAUUCAAUUUUGAUAAUUUCAAACCCUUUCAUAUUCUUUAUUCUAACCGAGGUGAACAACCCUACUUACAGGGGACACAAGGACUAUCUGUCUGUGUGAUAGAAGUUGGAUGGGACGCCAUCCCUUGUGUGUGUUGUAUAUACAAGAAGGUUAACUACCUUUAGUAGUGUCUUAAUCUAGACACACAACACUGAGUUCUUUAGAUCAUAUUGAUCUCUCAGUUAUCUCUCAUUUCAAAUGAGAUUUAUUUAACAUUCUUAUAAUCAUAUGACCACAAUCACGUGACAUUUGCUUCGAUAUAUGAAAUCUGUCAUACUUUUAAAUCUUCAUGAUUCUUGUUAUCUCUAAUAGUUUGGAGGUAUGCCAACCAAGUUGCUAACAUAAAUUAAGACUUUGUAGUAUAAAGCACCAGGGAUGAAAACGGAUGACAAUGCGGGUCAAUCAACAAAAAUUUUAUAUAGGAAAGAAAGAGUAUUAUGGAUUACAGAGAUCGUGCGCUCUAGUUUGCUUUUCGUUGAUUCCGAGGACGGAAUCCUUUUAAGGGUGGGAGAUUGUGACGACCCGGAUUUUUCAAAAUUUAUUUUGUUAGUUUAUUUGUGAUUCUUCAGAAAAAGUGGAAUAAAAUUUAAUAUUUUAUCCUAGUUUGAUAAAUUCUAAAAAUAUUUGUUUAAAUUAUUUUUCGGGUUCACUAGGGUAUCGAAAUUUUGUUGUCUGUUUUGAAUUAAAUGGCAUGUUAAAUACGUGAAUCACUUGUUAUAAGAUUUAACUGUUUAUUUGGAUGUAAUUUAUGCAUGUGUAUAUGUUUGUUACUAAUUAUUGUUUUGUUUUAGAAAUAUUUAUAAUUUUCUUAAAAAUAGAUUUUUGAAAGAUGAAUUCCUAAAAAUAUGAAAGCGAUUUCAAAAAUUCUUUUAAUUAUUUGAUAACGAUAAUAACUAUUUUUAGGAGUUUUUAUAAUAUUAAAAAUAUCACCUUCAUAAAGGUGUGACUUCUAAAUAUUUCCUGAAUGCAUUUAACUUCUAAAUUGCGUAUAAAUUUCAAAAUUGCUCUGUAAAUCUUGAAAGUUUUAUUUUAUUAGUUUUAAAAUAUUUCGGGAUUUAUAAAAAUAUUUCGGUAGUUGUCGGGAGAAAUUUUACUACAAGUUAUCUCCGUAAAAUAGUUAAAGCUGGUAUAAGAUUAGUGAUUAGCCAGCUCGUUAAGGACACGUGACAGCACAAGGCUCAGCCACGUGCCCCUAUUUUCGCCACCGCAAACCCUCUUUUCUUUUCUUCUCCAUACUUUUCUUUCACUCCAUUUUUUUCAUCAGUCUUGACUCUCUCCCUCACCAUUCUAUCCCGUCUCUCCUCUCUCGAUCACCCCUCCUUUCUUCUCUACUUUUCUGCUGUGUUACAAGCCACCGCGACGCCGCCCUCUGCCGCCGCGAUUCUCCGGCUAGUGUUGUCGCGGUUUCAAUCAAGCCGCCUGUGUAUUUCCGGCGAGCUCUCCACCCCGCACCUCCAGUUCAAUUAGUGAAUUGAAGACAUUGACCGAGGCAUUGAUCGAGAAUCGAUUGCAAUGGGUAUUCAGAAAUAGCCAAGUAGUGUUGCAAGUUGAAGUAGAGCGAAGAUUUGUUAUAGAUAAAAGCUUGUCAGAAGUUGACAAAAAGGAAUGAUAUGGCGGUAUAUAGUAUUAUUAGAAAUCUGAGCUAGACACUGGAGUUAAGCCAAGGACAAAGAUGUUUCACCCGAUUAGGCUGCGUGUGCGUGUAAGAGUAAUGAUAGGCAAGGAUUGCAAGUGGUUGAGUUUCAGGCAUAUGGUCAGGUAGAGUAUCCAGAAAGAUGUCAUUAAGACUAGUUGCAGUUGCAGUUGUGCAAUUUAAUUCAGUUGGGAAUUAGAUUUGUUUAUUUGGUUAUCAACUACUCUUCAUAUCGAGGUUUAGUUGAUAAUUUAGUUGAAGUUGUAUAAAAUUUGUAGUUUUGUUUUCUGAUUUCAAUACUAUAGCCUGUAUCGAUCCUGUUUUCAGGGGGUGAAAUUGAUUUGUAAUUUAAA